GACGACCGCUGGCGGCAGGCCUAACACAUGCAAGUCGAACGCGUGCCUUCGGGCACGAGUGGCGGACGGGUGAGUAACGCGUGGGAAUUUGCCUUGGGGUACGGAAUAACCGCGGGAAACUGCGGCUAAUACCGUAUACGUCCUUCGGGAGAAAGAUUUAUCGCCCCAAGAUGAGCCCGCGUCCGAUUAGGUAGUUGGUGAGGUAACGGCUCACCAAGCCUUCGAUCGGUAGCUGGUCUGAGAGGAUGAUCAGCCACACUGGGACUGAGACACGGCCCAGACUCCUACGGGAGGCAGCAGUGGGGAAUAUUGGACAAUGGGGGAAACCCUGAUCCAGCCAUGCCGCGUGAGUGAAGAAGGCCUUAGGGUUGUAAAGCUCUUUCGGUGGUGACGAUGAUGACGGUAGCCACAGAAGAAGCCCCGGCUAACUCCGUGCCAGCAGCCGCGGUAAUACGGAGGGGGCAAGCGUUGUUCGGAAUUACUGGGCGUAAAGGGCGCGUAGGCGGAUGAUCAAGUCAGAGGUGAAAGCCCUGGGCUCAACCUAGGAGGUGCCUUUGAAACUGAUUGUCUUGAGUACGGGAGAGGAUAGCGGAAUUCCCAGUGUAGAGGUGAAAUUCGUAGAUAUUGGGAAGAACACCAGUGGCGAAGGCGGCUAUCUGGCCCGUAACUGACGCUGAGGCGCGAAAGCGUGGGGAGCAAACAGGAUUA
Molecule: ribosomal RNA, 708 nt
Filed under: uncultured bacterium
Lineage: Bacteria
Description: bacterial SSU rRNA
Rfam family: Bacterial small subunit ribosomal RNA
Source: RNAcentral